GUACUCACUUCAGUAGCACAUAUACUAAAAUUGGAAUAAUACAGAGAAGAUUAGCAUGACCCCUGCACAAGGAUGACACGCAAAGCUGUGAAGCAUUGCAUAUUUUU
Molossus molossus (Pallas's mastiff bat) is the source of this 107-nucleotide small nuclear RNA. The record is from RefSeq and is a predicted model, not a curated record. NCBI's taxonomy places the organism in Eukaryota, Metazoa, Chordata, Mammalia, Chiroptera, Molossidae.